Molecule: ribozyme, 70 nt
Filed under: Rodentolepis nana
Lineage: Eukaryota; Metazoa; Platyhelminthes; Cestoda; Cyclophyllidea; Hymenolepididae
Description: Hymenolepis nana HDV ribozyme from F. prausnitzii
Rfam family: HDV ribozyme from F. prausnitzii
Source: Rfam by way of RNAcentral
GGGGUGCGGUAGACCUACCUCCACGUGGUGUACCCCAGGCAACGUAUUCUCAUACGGCAAAGAAGUCUAU